This 25-nucleotide non-coding RNA is filed under the name Arabidopsis thaliana (thale cress). Lineage: Eukaryota; Viridiplantae; Streptophyta; Magnoliopsida; Brassicales; Brassicaceae. The record is from RNAcentral. RNAcentral also lists the same sequence under 4 other names.
AACGACUCUCGGCAACGGAUAUCUC